This 498-nucleotide ribosomal RNA is filed under the name uncultured bacterium. Its description in RNAcentral is "bacterial SSU rRNA". It matches the Rfam family "Bacterial small subunit ribosomal RNA", at positions 501 to 1000 of the family's 1533-position model. The record is from RNAcentral.
CUACGUGCCAGCAGCCGCGGUAAUACGUAGGGUGCGAGCGUUAAUCGGAAUUACUGGGCGUAAAGCGAGCGCAGACGGUUACUUAAGCAGGAUGUGAAAUCCCCGGGCUCAACCUGGGAACUGCGUUCUGAACUGGGUGACUAGAGUGUGUCAGAGGGAGGUAGAAUUCCACGUGUAGCAGUGAAAUGCGUAGAGAUGUGGAGGAAUACCGAAGGCGAAGGCAGCCCCUUGGGAAUGUACUGACGCUCAUGUGCGAAAGCGUGGGGAGCAAACAGGAUUAGAUACCCUGGUAGUCCACGCUGUAAACGAUGUCGAUUUGGGGGUUGAACUUUAGGUUUGGCGCCCGUAGCUAACGUGAUAAAUCGACCGCCUGGGGAGUACGGCCGCAAGGUUAAAACUCAAAUGAAUUGACGGGGGCCCGCACAAGCGGUGGAGCAUGUGGUUUAAUUCGAUGCAACGCGAAGAACCUUACCUACUCUUGACAUCCAGAGAACAUUC